Molecule: long non-coding RNA, 1797 nt
Organism: Dreissena polymorpha
Lineage: Eukaryota; Metazoa; Mollusca; Bivalvia; Myida; Dreissenidae
Exons: 3
Source: RefSeq, a predicted model, not a curated record
CCCAGUUCAAUUCCUGGCCGGGACACUGGACAUUUCAGAAAUGCUUCACAUGUUUCCCAGCCAACUACAGAUGUACAAAAUCCAUGUAUGAAACCCAUUUUAUUCUCGCGUGUAUCGGUGCUAUACACCGAACACGUAAAAGAACCAAGGGAUCUAUUAGAAAAAAGCUGGGGUAUCGCACCCGGAUUCCUUUUAUCUCAAUACUGUCUCUUCUGCUUGCUGUCUCUUCUGCAAAAAAGGACCCCAUUGGAAAUUCUGGAGGCAACGUGUAGGGUAGACAUCACAAACUUCCCAUUUGACACCCAGUAAUGUCCUCUCAAGUUUUCUGCAUGGAGCUAUAAUAAAGAAGAAGUAGCAUUGACAGAAGGACUUUAAGGCAUCAUCAUGAAAUACUUUGAAGAAAAUUCAAGAUGGUCGAUGGUAGAAACAACAGCAGACUCGGAAAGAGACGAUGGUUUUGUGAUUUUUUAGAUGAAACUGAAGCGGAAGUCAACAUUUUACGUGUUCUAUAUACUCAUCCCCAUCGUCCUACUUUCGUUUUUAAACGUCCUCACAUUUGCACUUCCGAUAUAGUCCGGGGAGCGUGCUUCUUACGCUAUCACAGUGAUCCUGUCUUUGGCCGUGUUUCUAACAAUAACAGCAUCUGAGAUUCCGAAGAACUCCGACAUCAUUCCAGUCAUCUCAGUUUACAUAACCGCAAUAACAGCACUUAGCACUGCAAACGUAAUAACGUCUCUGUUAGAAUCGCGACUUGCGUCCCGAAAUAAAAACAUUGACACAAUUGACCCAGGGUAUAUGGCACUCUAUCGCUUAGCUCGAAAAUGUCCGUGUAAAUGUGACGGAAAGAACCAUACCGUUAAAGACAUUGGGUGGGAAGACGUUGUUGCUGCAUUGGAUUAUGUCUUGUUUUGGUUAUUUUUUGUGAUUACCUUUGUAGCAACCGUUGUUUGGUUUGUAAUUGCAAAAAGGGGGCAAAGGGAGUAUUUUAAAACGAAUUAACUAAUCACGGCAAAGACCAUUAAAUACGAGGGUGAUUCAUCGCUUGGCACACACAUACAGAAACUAAAAACGAAGGGAAAUACGUUCAACGACAUAAACGUGGUCAAAUGUUGGACAUACACGUUUCAGUUAAUGCAGUCACCAAUAUCCCUUAAUCAAAACCGCGAUAAAAAUAACAUCUUUCGCGUAAAUCUGGCUUAUAAAGUCAAUUAUUCACACGUACGCAAUUUGAAGACUGAACGAAUCUCAUCACCCAUAGUUGCAAAUGAACAUCUCAAAGAUGUCAAAGACCCCAGGCAUAAUGGCAUACACUUCUCCAACUCAACAAGUUACGACAAAAUCGAUUACAUCAGAACCACAGCAUGGAAGCGCAUAAAGUCUUUACCGCAAAAGCUUACAAAUGAUUUAUCCUUCUUUAAACAUUCAACUUGUAGAACAUGGCCACUUUUGUCUUAUUGAACUGAAAGUGAAGAAACCGCUUUGCAGAAUAGAUCGAACCCGGGGCAACUUGAAAAGUGAUCGGUGCUUUCAAGUUAAUCUCUUAUUAUCUGUUGUAUGAAUAAAUCUUUAUGGGACACUUCUGAAUAAAAUUUACUUAAGCAAUAGAACAAAUGUAAUAUGCUGGUUGUUAAUAUUGUUUUAAUAAACUUGUCUGAUUUUAAAUUGUCAUUACGCAUUAUGCUUUUAGUUAAGUGUUUAAACACACGAUUUAUGUUCCUUGAACAUGAAUUAUGUAAAGUAAUAUAGUAUAUACUUCGGUUAAAUUUUCAUAACAUUAAGUUGGAAUUAUAUUUUGCA